Molecule: ribosomal RNA, 497 nt
Filed under: uncultured bacterium
Lineage: Bacteria
Description: partial 16S ribosomal RNA
Rfam family: Bacterial small subunit ribosomal RNA
Source: RNAcentral
GAUGAACGCUGGCGGCGUGCCUAAUACAUGCAAGUCGAGCGAACGGACGAGAAGCUUGCUUCUCUGAUGUUAGCGGCGGACGGGUGAGUAACACGUGGAUAACCUACCUAUAAGACUGGGAUAACUUCGGGAAACCGGAGCUAAUACCGGAUGAUAUUUUGAACCGCAUGGUUCAAAAGUGAAAGACGGUCUUUCUGUCACUUAUAGAUGGAUCCGCGCUGCAUUAGCUAGUUGGUAAGGUAACGGCUUACCAAGGCAACGAUGCAUAGCCGACCUGAGAGGGGGAUCGGCCACACUGGAACUGAGACACGGUCCAGACUCCUACGGGAGGCAGCAGUAGGGAAUCGUCCGCAAUGGGCGAAAGCCUGACGGAGCAACGCCGCGUGAGUGAUGAAGGUCUUCGGAUCGUAAAACUCUGUUAUUAGGGAAGAACAUAUGUGUAAGUAACUGUGCACAUCUUGACGGUACCUAAUCAGAAAGCCACGGCUAACUACGUG